This 1179-nucleotide ribosomal RNA is filed under the name Bacillus cereus. RNAcentral's name for it is "bacterial SSU rRNA". It matches the Rfam family "Bacterial small subunit ribosomal RNA", at positions 20 to 1199 of the family's 1533-position model. Lineage: Bacteria; Bacillati; Bacillota; Bacilli; Caryophanales; Bacillaceae. The record is from RNAcentral.
UUACUAAGAAUCCUGGCUGUCUGCAGUCGAGCGAAUGGAUUAAGAGCUUAGCUCUUAUGAAGUUAGCGGCGGACGGGUGAGUAACACGUGGGUAACCUGCCCAUAAGACUGGGAUAACUCCGGGAAACCGGGGCUAAUACCGGAUAACAUUUUGAACCGCAUGGUUCGAAAUUGAAAGGCGGCUUCGGCUGUCACUUAUGGAUGGACCCGCGUCGCAUUAGCUAGUUGGUGAGGUAACGGCUCACCAAGGCAACGAUGCGUAGCCGACCUGAGAGGGUGAUCGGCCACACUGGGACUGAGACACGGCCCAGACUCCUACGGGAGGCAGCAGUAGGGAAUCUUCCGCAAUGGACGAAAGUCUGACGGAGCAACGCCGCGUGAGUGAUGAAGGCUUUCGGGUCGUAAAACUCUGUUGUUAGGGAAGAACAAGUGCUAGUUGAAUAAGCUGGCACCUUGACGGUACCUAACCAGAAAGCCACGGCUAACUACGUGCCAGCAGCCGCGGUAAUACGUAGGUGGCAAGCGUUAUCCGGAAUUAUUGGGCGUAAAGCGCGCGCAGGUGGUUUCUUAAGUCUGAUGUGAAAGCCCACGGCUCAACCGUGGAGGGUCAUUGGAAACUGGGAGACUUGAGUGCAGAAGAGGAAAGUGGAAUUCCAUGUGUAGCGGUGAAAUGCGUAGAGAUAUGGAGGAACACCAGUGGCGAAGGCGACUUUCUGGUCUGUAACUGACACUGAGGCGCGAAAGCGUGGGGAGCAAACAGGAUUAGAUACCCUGGUAGUCCACGCCGUAAACGAUGAGUGCUAAGUGUUAGAGGGUUUCCGCCCUUUAGUGCUGAAGUUAACGCAUUAAGCACUCCGCCUGGGGAGUACGGCCGCAAGGCUGAAACUCAAAGGAAUUGACGGGGGGCCCGCACAAGCGGUGGAGCAUGUGGAUUUAAUUUCGAAGCAACGCGAAGAACCUUUACCAGUGUUGACAUCCUCUGACACCCUAAAGAAUAGGCUUCUCCUCAGGAGCAGAGUGACAGGUGGUGCAUGAUUGUCGUCAGCCUGUGUCGUGAGAAUGUGGGUUAGUCCCGCAACGAGCGCAUCCAUGAUCCUAGCUGCAUUCAUAGUCGGUCACCUCUUGAGCGUACUGCCAGGUGACCUAACGGAAGGAUAGAUUGAGGAAAUGUAACGCGGC